Molecule: ribosomal RNA, 438 nt
Filed under: uncultured bacterium
Lineage: Bacteria
Description: bacterial SSU rRNA
Rfam family: Bacterial small subunit ribosomal RNA
Source: RNAcentral
ACUAAAUAGAUACCCCGGUAGUCCACGCCCUAAACGAUGUCUACUAGUUGUUGGUGGAGUAAAAUCCAUGAGUAAACGCAGCUAAACGCGUGAAGUAGACCGCCUGGGGAGUACGGUCGCAAGAUUAAAACUCAAAGGAAUUGACGGGGGCCCGGCACAAGCGGUGGAUUAUGUGGAUUAAUUCGAUGCAACGCGAAAAACCUUACCUGGCCUUGACAUGCCACUAACGAAGCAGAGAUGCAUUAGGUGCCCGUAAGGGAAAGUGGACACAGGUGCUGCAUGGCUGUCGUCAGCUCGUGUCGUGAGAUGUUGGGUUAAGUCCCGCAACGAGCGCAACCCUUGCCAUUAAUUGCCAUCAUUUAGUUGGGCACUUUAAUGGGACUGCCGGUGACAAACCGGAGGAAGGUGGGGAUGACGUCAAGUCCUCAUGGCCCUUAU